UGCCUUAGUAACUGCGAGUGAAGCGGCAAAAGCUCAAAUUUGAAAUCUGUGUCCUUGCGGGCACCGAGUUGUAACCUUGAGAUACGUUUUCGACCGACAGGCCUGCCUUAAGUCCCUUGGAACAGGGCGUCGCAGAGGGUGAGAAUCCCGUGAACGGUAGGCCUCGGGGCAAAUGAUACGUAUUCAACGAGUCGAGUUGUUUGGGAAUGCAGCUCAAAAUGGGUGGUAAAUUUCAUCUAAAGCUAAAUAUUGGGGAGAGACCGAUAGCGCACAAGUAGAGUGAUCGAAAGAUGAAAAGCACUUUGAAAAGAGAGUUAAAAAGUACGUGAAAUUGUUGAAAGGGAAGCGCUUGAGACCAGACUCAAUCUUUGUUGAUCAACCUCAGUUCUCUGUUGUGCACUCUUCAAUCUUUGGGACAGCAUCGGUUCUUGCGGAGGGACAAAGCCUCAGGAAAUGUGGCACCCUUCGGGGUGUGUUAUAGUCCUUUGGGUAAUGCCUGCAGCAGGGACCGAGGACCGCGCUCCGGCUAGGAUGCUGUCGUAAUGGUCUUCAGCGACCCGUCUUGAAACACGGACCAAGGAGUCUAACAUCUGUGCGAGUGUUCGGGUGGAAAACCCUUGCGCGUAAUGAAAGUGAAGGGAGGUGGGAAUCGUAAAGAUGCACCAUCGACCGAUCCUGAAGUAUUCCGAAGGAUUUGAGUAUGAGCAUAGCUGUUGGGACCCGAAAGAUGGUGAACUAUGCCUGAAUAGGGUGAAGCCAGGGGAAACUCUGGUGGAGGCUCGCAGCGGUUCUGACGUGCAAAUCGAUCGUCAAAUUUGGGUAUAGGGGCGAAAGACUAAUCGAACCAUCUAGUAGCUG
Molecule: ribosomal RNA, 858 nt
Filed under: Tarzetta insignis
Lineage: Eukaryota; Fungi; Ascomycota; Pezizomycetes; Pezizales; Tarzettaceae
Description: Hypotarzetta insignis partial large subunit ribosomal RNA
Rfam family: Eukaryotic large subunit ribosomal RNA
Source: RNAcentral